This 477-nucleotide ribosomal RNA is filed under the name uncultured bacterium. RNAcentral describes it as "partial 16S ribosomal RNA". It matches the Rfam family "Bacterial small subunit ribosomal RNA", at positions 28 to 507 of the family's 1533-position model. The record is from RNAcentral.
GAUGAACGCUGGUGGCGUGCCUAACACAUGCAAGUCGAGCGAUUCUCUUCGGAGAAGAGCGGCUUACGGGUGAGUAACGCGUGGGUAACCUGCCCUGUACACACGGAUAACAUACCGAAAGGUAUGCUAAUACGAGAUAACAUCCUUUUAUCGCAUCGUAGAAGUAUCAAAGCUUUUGCGGUACAGGAUGGACCCGCGUCUGAUUAGCUAGUUGGCGAGUUAACGGCUCACCAAGGCGACGAUCAGUAGCCGACCGGAGAGGAUGAUCGGCCACACUGGAACUGAGACACGGUCCAAAAUCCUACGGGAGGCAGCAGUGGGGAAUAUUGGACAAUGGGCGCAAGCCUGAUCCAGCCAUACCGCGUGGGUGAAGAAGGCCUUCGGGUUGUAAAGCCCGUUUGUUGGGAAAGAAAAGCAGCAGGUUAAUACCCCGCUGUUCUGACGGUACCCAAAGAAUAAGCACCGGCUAACUUCGUG